RNAcentral lists this ribosomal RNA (253 nucleotides) under uncultured bacterium. Its description in RNAcentral is "partial 16S ribosomal RNA". It matches the Rfam family "Bacterial small subunit ribosomal RNA", at positions 524 to 776 of the family's 1533-position model. The record is from RNAcentral.
UACAGGGGGGGCAAGCGUUGUUCGGAAUUACUGGGCGUAAAGGGUCUGUAGGUGGCUUGCUAAGUCAGACGUGAAAUCCCUCAGCUUAACUGGGGAACUGCGUCUGAUACUGGCAAGCUUGAGUGCAGGAGAGGAACGCGGAAUUCCAGGUGUAGCGGUGAAAUGCGUAGAUAUCAGGAAGAACACCAAUGGCGAAGGCAGCUCUCUGGGACGGUACUGACGCUGAGACGCGAAAGCGUGGGGAGCGAACAGG